This 5224-nucleotide long non-coding RNA is filed under the name Homo sapiens (human). RNAcentral describes it as "HSALNT0280605". The record is from RNAcentral. Lineage: Eukaryota; Metazoa; Chordata; Mammalia; Primates; Hominidae.
UUUAAUUGUUAUAAUUGGCCUGCCCAUCAAAUAAUGGUUAUUUAUCAUAAAUAUAUAUGAUAUUAGGGACUUGCAUUUGAACAACUUCUCUGCCAUAAAAUUCAGAAACCACAAUGUCCUGAACAAACUGAUAGAGGCUCCAUGACACCCAUUGGAAGCUGCCUGGUUCACAGGAAUGCUUCCUUCUUCUCCUGAGCGAUCUUAAGUAACAAAGCUGCACACAACAGUGCUUCCCCAUCAUCAUGGCCUGGAAAGGCAGCUCAGAGAGAGUGUUCUCAGACAGCAGGUAGGACAAACCCUUCAUUAAGAAAGGCUGCAUACACGGUGUUGGUAGCUGUUGGGCUAAUAGGAGACCCUUGAAACUUGGCCCUGUGUCAGCCUCCGCAGAGGCAGUGGAGGCAAAUGUGCAGUGAAGGGGUUUAGCUGAGGCAAGGAGAGUGGCCAGCGUCAACUGUCACACUGGCCACCUCCUGCAGAACAACCUAAUAGCGCAUAGCAAGAAAUGAAAGUAAGGCACUGUCCUUGACAUUAAGGAGCCUGAGUUACAACUGAAGGACUAAUAACCCCAGUGUUGGAAGAAUACUGUAAAAAGUUCAAUGCUUUUCAAAUAGGGUUCAAUUGCAUGGCCAAACUUAUGUGAUAAAGAAGUAUAGUGAAGGAGGGCUUAGAGGGCUAAAGAAAUCAAGACAGGCCCCACAGUGGUUUAACAGAUUUGUGUAAGGCCAUUGAAGAUGUAACAGAAACGAGAGGUUGGGGGAUUUGGGUCUGGGGACUCUCAGUUUAGGGCUGUUUUGGGGACACUGGGAGAUAAACAAGUCUUUCUCUGUAAUCUCAGGAUGAAGGUAAGAUACUGAAGAAUUCCAAGAAGACUGGAGGGGGCAGUGCUGGAGGAGAAGAAAGCAACAUAGGGCCUGGUGCAAGCCCAUGCAGGAUGGGGCCCCUUCCCAGAAGUCCUGAGCUAGAGCCCCGGAAUCCUGCCCUGGAAUCUCUACUGGAGCUACCCUCUGGCCCUUCUUUAAGACGUUCAAAUGUCGGAGCAGAAGAGGAGAAGGAAGAAAGGGAAAAAGUUGGGUGAAUGCCUUUUCUCCUUGUUUGCCUGAGUCCCCACUCCCUGGAGCUAAAUUUGCAGCCCAGGCCAAUGUGAUUUAUUCAGAGCUACUGCUACUUGUCAGUGGAUUGCUGCCCAAGCUUGCUUGCAGCCCAUCUGCUGAAUUCCUGUACAUGUGUGAACAUGUGUGGAAAAUUAAAGGCCUGGCUGUGGCCUGGAGCUGCCUUGCCCCUCAGCUACUCCAACCUCCAUCCACCAGGCCUGAUGCCAGUGUCCAUUGAAGCCGUCCUCACCACAUGGUCAAGAAAUGGGGAGCCUCAGUGAUAAAGCACUCAGGACCCAGUUCCUGAGUCCAUCAGUUGUUUUUCAUCAGGAGAUUAACCAAGAAGAGUUUACAUAGUACUCCAUACCACUAUAGAGCCCCACGCUACUCAGUCUCUGCUCUCAUCAAGGAAGUGUUGCCAUUUUGGUUUCUAUAUCAGGGCAGAGACCCAGGACAAGAAGCAGAGAAGGGAGCAAGAAGUGAGGAGUGCUGCAAAAAAGAGAACAAUAUGCUUUGCUUUUGUGAUUAAUUUCAACUCAGGAGGAAGCACAAUACUUCCAACUGAAGUCUGGAGCUAGAAACAGGAAAUAUCCAGGCCUGACUCAACUGUCUCUCCAGAAGCUGUUCUUUAAUUGCAAGAUGUCAAUCUCCCUCUCCCCCUCACCCCAGAUUUCAUUGUUUGUUUUGUUUUCAGGCAUUUAGUUGUUGUUUUCUCUUUUCCUUCACACACUGAGAAAUAUCUGUAGAUGAGCCUGCAGGGCAAUCUGGCCCUACUGUAAUAACAGAAGUCACAACUCUUAACUCUCUCCUCACUGUUUCCACUAAAUCUAAAGCCAACAUGCAAUGGAAGUUUCUUCAUGGUAAUAAUAUAAUAAUGAUAAAUGUAAUGGUUUAUUCAUUCAGCAAAUAUGUAUUGAACACCUACUAUGUGUCAGGCAUGGUUUUAAGUUCUUUGUAUGUGCUAUUUCAGUUAAUUCUUACAGCAACUCUACAAGAUAGAUAAUAGUAUUACCUCCAUUUUACAGAUCAGGAAACUGAGGUGUAGAGAGGUUAAACAACUUGCCCAAGGCAUUGGAGGUGGUAAAUGGCAGAGCCUGGGCUCCUGACCACUAUGCUGGGUUACCCCAAUGAUAAAUGGUAGGGAACCCAUUAUCCUGCCUCAGAAAGUACAGAUUUACCAUCUCCCAUCACUCACAUUCCAAUCCUAGUAAAACAGACAAUAAGCAAGAGCAGGAUUGAAAUCCCAGCUACCCACAGGAAACGUCUGUCACUUGCUUUGCUGAGUGUUUCAGGAGGAACAUUCAUGUGUAGACAGAGUUGUGUGUGUUUGUGUGUGAGUCCAUGGGUGUAAGCAUGCAUAUGCAUGCAUGAGAGGCUACAUAUGCCCCCUUAUGCAAUGCUCUCCUUUGAGCCUGGAUAAAGAGUUCCCAUAUCAAAUGAAGUUGAAAACAACACUCUAACCUUCCCUCUUUGCACAGAUCCCCACUGCUGCUUCCACAAACUGGGAUUAAAAAAAAAAGCACUAACACACCCUUCUGACAAGGCUGGGGACCCUCAUCCCGGAUUUGAGCUGCCUCUCAAUUGGGAACCUUCCACUUGGCAGAGCUCCAGUUGUAGCAAGAACAAUUACCAAGUACCUGAUCACCACAGGGAGUCCAAAGACAAAUACAUACAAAUAAAGACAUUUUGGGAGAAGGAGUGAGAGUCUGUGGAGCUGCCAUGUGGGCCCCCAAGUUCCCAGUUUAGAACCUUUUGCCCUCCAGGCUGGCACUUCCUCUUCCUUUCUCUAACCCUCUGGCCUUACAGAAAUAAAACUUUCAUUCCACAACAUAUUACUUUGACCCUUCCUUCACAACAAAGUGAAAAACACCUGAUAAUGGCUUAAGCCUGUCCUAGGGUUUUUGCAUUUUAAUGGAAAUCAAGCCUAUUGCUGAGAGGACCAACCUGGAAUGGUAAAACUAGAGGCAUCAGCCAGCAGGUAGAAGAGGAUUUGGGCAUGGGAGAGGAGGAGAAACCAUGGGGUUUUCUACAGUUCUAGAACUAGCUAACACUUCACCUAAGAUUGCAUGAGGAUCCUAGUAAAAACAAAACUGUAUUAACUGUAUUUUACCCAGAAAAGAGAAAGAACAUUAAAAUGGUCCUAAGAGCAAGACCAUUCAGGAAAAGAGAGACAGCAUUAGAUGAUCACUGAGGUCCCUAAUAGUUCUAGCACUCAGAUUGAACUUUGGUUCAUCUCUUGAUGACUCUGGUGCCUUUAGUGUGAAUGCUAAAGAAAGGCUUGGCUUCCCCAAUCCAAAUGUAUUCAAGAUGGUGCACAGUUGCUGUAUUAGUUAUGUAACUCCUGAUUCUGAGUUGAUUGUAUUAAUUGAAAGGCAUUUUGUGCCUAGCCAGUAGUAUUGUGUGGUCAUUGGUCCUCUGACACUCUGCACUGUGGGCUUGGAAACAGAAAAGUUAGAGUAUCUGGUUCAACAAGGAGCCCAGGAAAACUUCAGUCUUGGCAUGUCAUUUAGCGUGAAAUCAUUUCAACCAGAAUGGUGCUAGCCCUCACUGAGCUCCUGAUGGAUGCCAAUCAAGUCUAUUUAGCUUGGCUACCUCAGAUAAGGAAAUUCCAGAAGCUUUCCAGUUCCUUUUAGAUUUAUUGUAAAUGACAUCAUGCACCCAGAUGCAGAAUUCUUGUUGAGUCCAACAUUAGGAGAAUGGAUAUGAUGGAAUUUUAAGAUUGGCUAAAAGCUUAAGCAAUCAACUUGGGGAAGGGGAAAUAUUAGAGGGAGAUAAAACUCAUUUUUCUCAUUUGCCCAUUCAAUGACAAACAACUGACCAGCCACAAAACUUGCAGCAAUGGGAUCAAAUGUUUAGACUUGGAAUUCGUCUUUUUCAUUUGGAGAGUAAUAAGUAAGAGAUCCCCAUUGUGUCAAAUGGAGUAACUUUUCAUUUUCCUGUAUUCAAAAUGGCUUGGAAGUGAUGCAGUUCACAAACAGAACAAAAUCUUUAAAUAACUCUGUACAGAUGUUCUUCGGCUCUCCCCUUUGAAACUUGUUAAAUUAUUUUUGCUGCCUUUGAGUUAUAAGAUGCUAACCUCAGAGCUGCAUUUUCGGCUUAGAAUUUCAUUCCAUUAUGUCCCUUUACCUUUUGGAUAGCAUACCAUUGAAUGAAGGCAAGGAGACAAACGGCAAGAAAACCUGCCUUAUCUUUCUGACACUGAUGUGGAGUUCAUCACUAAGCACUUAGCAAACUUCCCAGUGCUUAGUUCAAAUAAGCACAGCAGCCUGGUCUAAGUCCAUAGUGUCAUCCCAUUGAAGUUUCUGCCAUGUCCAACCAGAAAGAAGUCCAUUCCAGGGCUGGCUGGGGGCUGCAGCAUAUUUCACAGCUGUUUCAGAAACAAGGUGAGAUUAUUCUAGUUUUGUGAAAAUAUCAAAUGAGAAAGUCCUGGAAGCCAAGCUGAAAGGGAACCUGCCAUUGCAAACUACGGCUACACAGUGAUUCUCCCACCCCUACCUCUCUCUUUGUCAAAUAUCUUAACUUGCCUAUGAAGAAAUCCAUCAUGGCACCAGUUUUCUAGGCAAAUAAUGAGAAUGAGUAAGUUUUUCCUAAUCAAGUUUCUAAGCACUGAAGAACAAAGGGAUAGAAUAGAUAAGAAAAGCAAAGGAUUAAAAAUCUAGAUCUGCUCUCUCCAAUAUGGCAGCCCCUAGCCAUAUGUGGUUAUAGAGCACUUGAAAUGUAGCAAGUGUGAAUAAGGCACUGAAUUUUUAAUUUCAUUUGAUUUUAAUUAAUUUGAAUAUGGAUACUGCAUUCAGUUAUUGGAAAACUUUUAAGUACAUUUGGAAGAACCUGGAUUUGUGAAUCUACUUUUUCAAAUUUUAUAGAAUGAUAUGAAAUCUAAAUACAGAUCAAGUAUUUCUGAUGAAAAUUUACCAUCUGAAUUCAGAUGUGCUAUAAAUGUAAAUAUACACUGGAAUUUGAAGACUUAGUAUAAAAAAGAACGUAAGCUAUCUCAUUAAUAAUUUAUAUUGAUUUGAUUUUUAUGAUUAUACUUUAUGUUGAUUUUAUAUACCAAAAUGAUAAUAUUUUGAAAAGAGUGGGCUAAAUAAAAUUCAUUAUUAAAAUUAAUUUCACCAAUUUCUCUUGCAUUUUUU